GCACCGGUAGCUCAGUUGGAUAGAGUAGCUGGCUACGAACCAGUUGGUCGGGGGUUCGAAUCCUCUCCGGUGUACCA
RNAcentral lists this transfer RNA (77 nucleotides) under Clostridium cochlearium. Its description in RNAcentral is "tRNA-Arg". It matches the Rfam family "tRNA". Rfam says of the family: Transfer RNA (tRNA) molecules are approximately 80 nucleotides in length. Their secondary structure includes four short double-helical elements and three loops (D, anti-codon, and T loops). Further hydrogen bonds mediate the characteristic L-shaped molecular structure. tRNAs have two regions of fundamental functional importance: the anti-codon, which is responsible for specific mRNA codon recognition, and the 3' end, to which the tRNAs corresponding amino acid is attached (by aminoacyl-tRNA synthetases). tRNAs cope with the degeneracy of the genetic code in two manners: having more than one tRNA (with a specific anti-codon) for a particular amino acid; and 'wobble' base-pairing, i.e. permitting non-standard base-pairing at the 3rd anti-codon position. Lineage: Bacteria; Bacillati; Bacillota; Clostridia; Eubacteriales; Clostridiaceae. The record is from RNAcentral. RNAcentral also lists the same sequence under 4 other names.